CAUUCUCUCAGUAAGCUAAAUCUUUAACUAUGAUUUGUGUUAGUCUUAUUACUGAAAUGCAUAAAUAAAUAUGAUAUGAUUUGAUUAGAUAUACGAGAAUUUCACAUAAUCACAUGCAUGUUACUUUUGUUCUACAGUUUCUUUAUUGUACUAAGUUUCCAUCUCUGUUUCUUGACAAGGCGCUCCAAGGAAGAGAUAUGCUUCCAUGCCAGGGAGCAAGGGAAGAACACGACUGACGACUGAGGAAUCCUUUUAUGAUAAUCCAUUAUCUGAGUGCAUCUGUCUGACUGGGAAGCACACAUGUGAUGCUGCGGUAUAGGCCCUGAUUCUUUUCUGCACAAAAUGGUCACUAUGGGAAAGUCUAAGGAGGACAAUACCUCAGGUCAUAAAAUACAUCUACCAGGUGCAAAAAUUGAGAAAGUGUGGAUACGAGUAUAUCCACAUUGGUCAUGCCAAGGCUGCAAUGUUGAACAAGUAUUCUCCAGAAAAGAUAUAAGGGGGUCCAAUAGGAUCUUAGCUUAGGCACAACAGAAGUGAGCAAAGCUAACUAGGAGAGAGCGCCAACAACAAAAUACCUGCAGUUUCAUGGAAAUGACAUACAUUUGUGGUUUAUCUUUUUUUUUUUGCCGAAUACCUCUGGGCCAAAGGAAGGAGAGAUCUGAUUAUCCAUACAUUUGUUGACUAACGUCAUUGGGGUUGACCAGGGCACCAUUUGAGGUGCUUGAAUAUUAAUCGCUAGGUUUUGGAUUGGAGGCAUUGGAG
Lolium rigidum is the source of this 762-nucleotide long non-coding RNA. RefSeq lists it as uncharacterized. The record is from RefSeq and is a predicted model, not a curated record. The transcript has 4 exons. Lineage: Eukaryota; Viridiplantae; Streptophyta; Magnoliopsida; Poales; Poaceae.